GUCGAGCCCAGGAUACAAAUAUCCGCCAAAGGAACACUUUACUUCUCAUAUGUUAACAUCAUGGACACUGCGGUAUACAAGUGCGGCGUCACCACCUCGUCUACCAUACAACUCGGUAGUCCGGUCCAACUGAACGUCACGAAAGGUAACGUCGCAGACACGUGGCCAGUACUCAUGUAUUCGAGCGAGACAACGGACGCUACACAGGGACAGGCUGUAACACAACAGUGUAUCUUCAG
Long non-coding RNA from Haliotis rubra (blacklip abalone), 239 nucleotides. RefSeq lists it as uncharacterized. The transcript is spliced from 3 exons. NCBI's taxonomy places the organism in Eukaryota, Metazoa, Mollusca, Gastropoda, Lepetellida, Haliotidae. The record is from RefSeq and is a predicted model, not a curated record.